AUUUUUUUAUCAUAAUAUAAAACUAUAUGUUAUUUGAAAACCAAAUCAGUUACCUAUAAAAACAAAAGACAGCCAAUUGGUCGGGCAAUUGCGGAAUCACUGAUAAGGACGUGAUAUACGUAAGCCUUUUACUUUUGCGGCCAACAGAGAGGGGGAAGAGAUUGUCAUUUAAUGCAUGUUUGAGAUUCUUCGACACAAAUACACGGCUGACGUAUUAAUUCCAUUCAGAGUGCAUAAAAACGUUCAAUAUACGUGUUUUGCAGUUCAUUUAUUAAAACCACAACUUACAUUAUUUUAUUAUUUUAAUAUGAUAAUAUUAUAUGAAAUUUGUCAAAUAAAUGUUUUUCAAAUAUUUUCAAAAGUAUAAACGUCGUGGAAUGUGAGUGUUGGAUUUUUUUCUAUUAAAGACUGAAAUUAUUGAGAUAUUAGGAGUAAGCAUCGUGUGAAAAAUAUUCUAUUCGUAUAUGGUAAUGAUUUCUAUCGUGGAGCACGAGAAGAGGUGCAAUAAUCCCGUGUCCGAUCUUUAAGCGACGGUCAAGAAAUCGGCAGCAUCGUCCACACAUAACCAGGAUUGCCGGUAAGUGUCCGAGUCCUGUGCGCUGGCCUAAACGUAGACAGGUGCUACAGUUUAAGAUCGAUGCGUACUUACAAUCACCGACGUUCGAGGAGAUUCCCCCCCUCGGAUACCGUGACUUUGACAGGGUUGGUACUUCAGUGAAAUUGCGGUUUCGAAGACACCUGAGCCCGCUGAUAAGGAUGUGGAGGAGACGUCAUCUAUUUGCUAGGAAGUCGAUGUGAUGGUGUGUCAUUCGUAUCCGUUGUCGAACAACCGUAUCAAAACCAACACCGGUUCCUGUCACCAAACUGGUGUAGUUUUGGGGUUGCAAGUGUAAAGAACUUUCAACGGUAAAACAUUUUAAGGUGUUUCAAAACUAUUGUUUUGCAAUACCAACAAAUAUUCUAGUUUAUAAGUUUUAAAAAAGGGUUUUACUUCUUUUUCAUCGUAUUUAUAUUACUUUGGUCUAUUGAUAUUCAUCCGCACUAGUAUAAAAAAUUAGUUAGGUAAAGUUAGGUAAGUAAUGAUAAUAUGUAGGCACACCUGUUGUAUAUUAUAUUUUUAUAUUCAGUGUAGAAUUGGUUUUUGCUUUUAAUUCAACCAUUGUAUUAUUUUUUUGAAACAUUUAUUAAAAUAUUUGGUGAUCCAUUUACACA
Acyrthosiphon pisum (pea aphid) is the source of this 1212-nucleotide long non-coding RNA. RefSeq lists it as uncharacterized. The transcript has 2 exons. The record is from RefSeq and is a predicted model, not a curated record. NCBI's taxonomy places the organism in Eukaryota, Metazoa, Arthropoda, Insecta, Hemiptera, Aphididae.